This 107-nucleotide ribosomal RNA is filed under the name Acanthosepion pharaonis. The record is from RNAcentral. Lineage: Eukaryota; Metazoa; Mollusca; Cephalopoda; Sepiida; Sepiidae.
UUACGGCCAUAUCACGUUGAAACAUCGGUUCCCGUACGAUCACCGAAGUUAAGCAACGUCGUGUCUGGACAAUACCUAGAUGGGUGAACGCUUGGGAAUACUGGUGU